Molecule: long non-coding RNA, 1182 nt
Filed under: Apteryx haastii (Great spotted kiwi)
Lineage: Eukaryota; Metazoa; Chordata; Aves; Apterygiformes; Apterygidae
Description: lncRNA (ENSAHAG00000003117.1)
Source: RNAcentral
AUGUGCCCUGCUUGCUUACGUCCGCGCCGCGGUUUCCAGCGGGGGAAGCUCCAUGCACGGAGCAGGGAUACACCAUGCACGGAGCAGGGAUAUCCCAUAAAUGGAGCAGCAAUACGUCAUGCAUGGAGCACGGAUGCACCAUACACGGAGUGGGGAUACGCCAUGCAUGGAGCAAGGAURUGCCAUGCACGGAGUGGGGRUAUCCCAUGCAYGGAACAGGGAUACACUGUGCAUGGAGCAGGGAUACUCCAUGUAUGGAGCAGAGAUACGCCAUGCACGGAGCAGGAAUACACUGUGUGUGGAGCGGGGAUAUGCCAUGCAUGGAACAGGGAUAUCUCCUGCAUGGAGCAGGGAUAUGCCAAGCACGGAGCGGGAAUGCCCUGUGCAYGGAGCAGGGAUAUCUCGUGCAUGGAGUGGGAAUGCCCCAUGCACGGAGCAGGGAUAUCCCAUAAAUGGAGCAGGGAUACACCGUGCACAGAGCAGGGAUACGCUGUGCAUGGAGCAGCAAUACGUCAUGCACGGAGCACAGAUGCACCAUACACGGAGUGGGGAUAUGCCAUGCAUGGAGCAAGGAUACGCCAUGCACGGAGUGGGGAUAUCCCAUGCACGGAACAGGGAUAUGCUGUGCAUGGAGCAGGGAUAUCCCAUAAGUGGAGCAGGGACACACUGUGUGUGGAGCAAGGAUACACCGUGCACAGAGCAGGGAUAUCCCAUGCACGGAGCAGGGAUGUGCCAUGCACAGAGCAGGGAUACAACAUGUAUGGAGCAGGGAUACACCGUGCACGGAGCAGGGAUACGCUGUGUGUGGAGCGGAGAUACGCCAUGAAUGGAACAGGGAUAUCUCCUGCAUGGAGCAGGGAUACGCCAAGCACGGAGUGGGGAUGCCCUGUGCACGGAGCAGGGAUGCACCAUGCAUGGAGCAGGGAUAUCUCGUGCAUGGAGYGCGGAUGCCCCAUGCAUGGAGUGGGGAUACACCAUGCACGGAGCAGGGAUACGUUGUGCAUGGAGCAGGGAUACAUUGUCCAUGGAGUGGGGAUAUACCAUGCAUGGUUCAGGGAAUAUCCCAUGCAUGGAGCAGGGAUGCACCAUGCACGGAGCAGGGAUACACCAUGCACGGAGCAGGGAUGCCCCAUGCACGGAGCACGGCUGCUCCAUGCACGGAGCGGGGAUGCCGCAGGGUGA